This is a long non-coding RNA of Dendrobium catenatum, 1861 nucleotides long. RefSeq lists it as uncharacterized. NCBI's taxonomy places the organism in Eukaryota, Viridiplantae, Streptophyta, Magnoliopsida, Asparagales, Orchidaceae. The record is from RefSeq and is a predicted model, not a curated record. The transcript is spliced from 2 exons.
AUCCGGCCAGCCACCAGCCAGAUUCCCGCCGGCCAGCCAGCAGCCCCAACCCGCUCUCUGUUUUCAGAAUUUGAAAUUCCAUGCCAAGGCUUAAUUUCUUUCCUAUUCUACAUCUCCUCAUAGUAGGAAAUUUGGCCUGUUUAAUUCACAGAAGUUUUCCAACGGGAUUAGCAGCAAGCUAUUUAGGGAAUCUUCUUGUAAUAGUAAACCUGAUAAUCAAGUAUCAGAUUUACUAAUUCCGUGAAUGCCUCAUGAGAAGCCAGGCAAUUAAUCCGAUUGCUCCCUCCUUUCUCUCUCUAAUCCCCAUUUAAUCACCACUUAAAUGCCCCUCUUAAUUCCCCUCCCUCUCUUGCUCUAAUUUCAAAAUUCAAAUCUGAAAUUGAAAUUAAAAUUGCAGCUCAUAUUUAGAAUCUGAAAUAAAAUUCAGAUUUGUUUUCUCUCCACCAUAGCCUAACCCAACCCCCUCUGUUUUCCCCCCACCCGAGCCCUCUUCUCUUGGGUUCUCUCCCCUUGCCCUCUCAUCUACAAGCAAAAGAGAUGUAUGGCGGAUCCGGAGUUUGAAUGGGGGCUUGUGUUCGACGCCCAUGACAAUCUUGACGUCAUACAAUCGCCAUUGUUUGACGCGGGAUUUGAUUCCGACGACGACACCGUUGGAGCCUACUUGGACCGGAUCCUCCCGACUCUCAUACACGUCAUCGACAAACAACGUCCAGACUCCGAGGGGAUCAUUGGCGGCCGCCGACCCACUCCUCCAAAUCCGGCUUCUUCCCCGGCGACGAGUCCUCUCGGGAUCACCUGUCUACUAGUGGCCUCACUAAGUCUACUUACGAUCCUCCUCCGCUAGCCACCACUUUCAAAACGAGGGAAGGACUUCAAGGUGAAUGAUUUAAAUUUUAAGCGUGUGGCUUUAGUGAAAGUUAUUUGCAUUAUUUAGUUAUCUUUUGGUUAUAUUUUUGCAAGACUUUUGUAACUCUCAAGUGUAGUCAAUGCCUACCGCUUAAUCUAUCACGAAUUUUUCUUGAAUCCUAAUUGAGUAAGCUAAAUUUUAUUGUUAAUGUUGCAAAGUUAAAACUUUCACUAAUCUCUCAAGUGCAAUUCAUGUUUCACCGCUUGUUGUUUCACAUCAAUUAAACAUUUCUUUACAUGUAAAGUAGUCAUUCUGUCUUUUGCAUGUGGUGCAUUGCUGUUUUUAUGGUUGGCAUAUCCCUGCGUCGAAUGGGAAAUUGGUUACUGUAGUAGGGUAUGUUCGAUAAUCGUUUUUUCUAAAAAAUGAAUGCUUAGUAUCUAUAGGUUCUCAUGGAUUAAUGUUCAAAACUAUUCAUGAGCUUAUAAACUAUGUUUAAUGACUGGCAAGUUGAAUAACCUGUAGCGUCAGUACAGGUUCUUUAGAAUAAAACUAACUGUUUUUUGUGAUUAUUUUAUGUUUUCCGGCUUUCAUUAUGUGUGAUUCAUAUUCUUCUAUCAGAUGGAAAUCAAAUAAAAUUAAUUCUGAAUGUUGGCGGACCUGAUAGAUUGUCCAGGGCACAAAUGGCUGUGGCGGUUGCUGACUAUCGAGGCUAUAAUCUCUCAUUGAUCAAAUUGGUAUCUGCAGCAUCUAUCAAUCGUGGAGUUGUGUCCCCAGCAGAUAUAUCUAUGGACAUCAGCAGGCUGAUUCAGGCGCUUGGGAUCAAUCCUAUUUCAUUUAAAGAAGGUGUCAGACUGACACUUGGAAGUGCUUCAUGACCUUGUAAUUUGAAAUCAAAUCAAAUGCGCUGUUUUAAAAUGUAUGUAAUAUAUGAAUUAUUUUUAUGUAGCUCAUCUUGAUCUGUUGGUUGAGCGGUUGAAUUAUCAACUAAAAGAUAUUGAGUUAUAAAUUUGUAUA